RNAcentral lists this transfer RNA (81 nucleotides) under Sphaerodactylus townsendi. RNAcentral's name for it is "tRNA-Gly". The record is from RNAcentral. Lineage: Eukaryota; Metazoa; Chordata; Lepidosauria; Squamata; Sphaerodactylidae.
GGUAAGGCCAUGGCCCAGAGGCAGAGCAUCUGCUUUCCAUGUAGAACGUCCCUGGUUCAAUGCCCAGCAUCUCCAGGAUCA